GUCUACGGCCAUACCACUGAGAAAGCACCGGUUCUCGUCCGAUCACUGAAGUUAAGCUCAGUAGGGCGCGGUUAGUACUUGGAUGGGUGACC
Molecule: ribosomal RNA, 92 nt
Filed under: Nematostella vectensis (starlet sea anemone)
Lineage: Eukaryota; Metazoa; Cnidaria; Anthozoa; Actiniaria; Edwardsiidae
Source: RNAcentral